This 20-nucleotide non-coding RNA is filed under the name Rattus norvegicus (Norway rat). The record is from RNAcentral. Lineage: Eukaryota; Metazoa; Chordata; Mammalia; Rodentia; Muridae.
AACUCUGGACGUGGGAAGUC